RNAcentral lists this long non-coding RNA (2551 nucleotides) under Marmota monax (woodchuck). The record is from RNAcentral. Lineage: Eukaryota; Metazoa; Chordata; Mammalia; Rodentia; Sciuridae.
CGCCGCGCGCCGGCCCAAGUGGCCUCCGCAGCCCGGGGGCUCCGGCCCCGCCUCGCUCUCCCUCACCCUGCGGCCGCCCUCCCGCCCGGGGUGCUCCCGGAGGCCCAGACACGCGGCGAGACGGAAGCGGAGGCGCGAGUGCGCAGAACAGCCUUUACUCGGGCGCCUAGAAGCGGAGCGCCUCCUCCGCGGUGCGGUACUGAUUCAGCUGGAUCUGGACCUCCACCGUCAGCGGCUCCGGCUGGUAGUCGCUGUCGAAGCUCGGCAUCUGCGGUUUUGACUUUUCUGAGAAAAUUAAAACAUAAGCAAUGAGUCCGGAGCGAUGUGGGGACUGCGGUCUCCAAGCACGGAACACAUCCCCAAAACCCAAGUCCAGGGAGGCACAACUCUGAAUUGGAUCCAGCUCUGUUAAUAGAGUAGGGAAUAGAAUUGCGUUUAAUUGGAGCAUUUAAUGAGUCACAGCUGUUUGAGUUACAAGAAAAAUUAGCUGUUUCUUUCUUAGACCAUUUUAAGUUGAACUCUGACGAACUAUGCAUGUACAGUCUUGGGUAUUUGACAAUUAUUUUCUUUAAAAUGAAGUAAAUAUGGCACUUUGGGGAAAACACGGGACUGAAAGCAUUUUGAUAAAUUUAUAACAUUUGAACUUUCAGGUAGAAAUUAGAAUUUUGGAACACUGCCACCAUGAACUCAAGGUUCCCAAUACUCCAAGUCUUUUCUAAUGAUGUGGGUGGUGAUAUUUAAGAACGUGACUUUUGGGGCUGGGGUUGUGGCUUGGCUGUAGAGCGCUUGCCUAACGUGUGAGGCACUGGUUUCAAUCCUCAGCCCCACAUAAAAAUAAAUAAAAUAAAGGUAUUGUGUCCAUCUACAACUGAAAAUGCUUUUUUAAAAAACGAAUGUGACUUUUGGAUUUUUAAUGGAAUGUGUAAAUCAAUGUUUGUUAUUUUACAAGUAACCGUGUUACCAGUAGUGCAUGGUUAAAAUAUCCAUUCAAAAUGCAAAAUAAAACGGUUAUGGAGGCGCAUGCUCCGGAGGCUGAGACAGGAGGAUCAGGUUCAAAGCCAGCCUCAGCAAAAGCGAGGCACUAAGCAACCCAGUGAGACCCUGUCUCUAAAUAAAAUAUAAAAUAGGGCUGGGGAUGUAGCUCAGUGGUUGAGUGCCCCUGAGUUCAAUUCCUGGUGUGUGUGUGUGUGUGUGUGUGUGUGUAUCAAUGUACUUUAAUGACUAAUUGGAUUGAAAAAAAUCAAUAUAUAUUCAGUUUUCACUUUGUAACAAAUGUAAUAAGCUAGCUUGUCAAAUUCAUUGUAACAUCAAGGAAGAAUAUCCAUAAUUCUUUGAAAGCCUAUUAAAAUAUUCCCCUCUUUUCUAAUUAUGUGUUGGUAUGAGGUUGGAUUUUCCUCAUACACUUCAACAGCAAUAUAUCAAGAGUUUUGCUGUAGACGCAGAUAUGAGAAUCCACUGUCCUGUUAAUCCAGACAUUUAAAAGAUCUUUAAAAACAAACUUGAAAAAAAAAUUUAACUAUCACCAGGCAGCCUGCCCAUAAUCCCAGCUACUCAGGAAACUAAGGCAGGAGGAUUAGAAAUUCCAGGACAAUACUUUGCAGGAUCCUCUCUCAAAAGUAAAAAUAAAAUAAAAAGGGCUAGGGAUGUAGCUCAGAGGUACAGCACCCCAGGUUCACUCCCCAGUACUGCAGAAAAAAGUUAAACUAUCUUAUCUCCACAGAUAAGUGCCACAAAUCAUGUGCCCAUAUAUGCAUGGUCUUGAAAGCCCAAUAGUAUGAACCUCCCAAUUCAUUCUUUCUCAGAACUGUUUUGGGUCCUUUUCCUAUGAAUUUUAGAAUCUGCUUGCUGAGCUGGGUGUAUUGGCACACAUCUGUAAUUCCAGCAACUCAGGAGGCUGAGGCAGGAGGAUCACAGGUUUAAGGUCAGUCUCCACAAGUUCAUUGAGAUCCUUUCUCAAAAACAAAAUACAACAAGGGCUGGGGAUGUAGCUCAGUGGUAAAGUGCCCCUUGAUUCAAUCUCUAAUAUUGGUGGUGAGGGGCAAUACUUAAGUUUUAAAAAAAAAUCUGCUUGCUGAUUUCUAUAAACCAUAGACUUGGCAGGAUCAUUCCAUUAUGUGGAAUCUAUAGAUCAUUUGAGAAGAACCUACAUCUUAACAAUAUUUGAAUCUCCUAAUCCCUGCUCAUAGUAUACCUCUCCAUUGAUAUAGAUCUUUAAUUUCUGUUCACAAUGUUUUCUAGUUUUCAGUGAACAGGACUUCCACAUCUUUUGUCACAUUUAUUCCUAUAUCAUAUUUUUCAAUGCUAUUUCUUCUUUGACCCACAGGUUAUUUAGAAGUAUGUUGCUUAGUUUCUAAAAAAUUUGGGAUUUCUUGGAUCAGGAUUUUACAGUUUCAGUUUUCAUCUUCCCCCCACCCCACCCCCCAUUUUAUAGGAUUUUGCAGUAUUGUCCAGGCUGGUGUUGAAAUCCUGGACUCAAAGGAUCCUCUCACCUCAGCCUCCCCAGUGCUGGAACUACAGGCACAUACCACCAUGCCCAGCUCAAAUUUUGAAA